This is a long non-coding RNA of Etheostoma spectabile (orangethroat darter), 204 nucleotides long. RefSeq lists it as uncharacterized. The transcript has 3 exons. Lineage: Eukaryota; Metazoa; Chordata; Actinopteri; Perciformes; Percidae. The record is from RefSeq and is a predicted model, not a curated record.
AGUGUCAGAGAGUCUACAUCUGAUCAGAGAGACUACAGUGUGUUAAUUAAAAUCGGCAACAGAUCGCUUGUAGAGCAUUUUGAGAGCUACUCGGUCAUUAUUAAACAGCUGGAGACUGUGUACAAGCUAUGUGUCUGAUAAAAUUGUAUUAAAUCGGAAUCAGACGACAGCGUUUCUGUCACUUCCUGUUCAGCAUGAAGGCUG